RNAcentral lists this long non-coding RNA (351 nucleotides) under Junco hyemalis (dark-eyed junco). RNAcentral describes it as "lncRNA (ENSJHYG00000002691.1)". The record is from RNAcentral. Lineage: Eukaryota; Metazoa; Chordata; Aves; Passeriformes; Passerellidae.
CGCUCCUUGAAGUUACAUCUGCUCUUCUCUUUCAUCUCUCCUCUUGUUAACUGGGAGCUGUCACAUUAGGAGUUUUGGUGGAAGUGGCAUAAAGGAAGGAAAGAGAGACUGAUACACUGUGUCAUGACAAAACAGGCAGAGUAAGAGUGCCUUUGCAGUCACCUAUCAUCCAUGGACUACGUGCUGCUGGCCCAAAGCAUCAGGCCCUCUGGAAGGAUUCUGCGCAUGAAAAGUUGAACUGGAGCAAAAUCAAGACUUGAAGUCCCCUGUGUGGAAAAACAGGUGAAAAAAAGGUUAGCUGUGUUUGAGAAGGGGAAUGCAUCUCUCAUCUGUAUUACAGAUAGUCUGAUG